Molecule: ribosomal RNA, 654 nt
Filed under: uncultured Glomus
Lineage: Eukaryota; Fungi; Glomeromycota; Glomeromycetes; Glomerales; Glomeraceae
Description: SSU rRNA
Rfam family: Eukaryotic small subunit ribosomal RNA
Source: RNAcentral
GGGUAACGGGGUGUUAAGGCACGACACCGGAGAGGGAGCCUGAGAAACGGCUACCACAUCCAAGGAUGGCAGCAGGCGCGCAAAUUACCCAAUCCCGACACGGGGAGGUAGUGACAAUAAAUAACAAUACGGGGUUCUUUCGGAUUUCGUAAUUGGAAUGAGUACAAUUUAAAUCUCUUAACGAGGAACAAUUGGAGGGCAAGUCUGGUGCCAGCAGCCGCGGUAAUUCCAGCUCCAAUAGCGUAUAUUAAAGUUGCUGCAGUUAAAAAGCUCGUAGUUGAAUUUCGGGACCAUCAUGUCGGUCGUGCCUCGGUACGUACUGGCAUUGUUGGUUUCUCCCUUCUGACGAACCAUGAUGUCAUUUAUUUGGUGUUGUGGGGAAUCAGGACUGUUACUUUGAAAAAAUUAGAGUGUUUAAAGCAGGCUCACGCUUGAAUACAUUAGCAUGGAAUAAUGAAAUAGGACGUUUGAUUCUAUUUUGUUGGUUUCUAGGAUUGACGUAAUGAUUAAUAGGGAUAGUUGGGGGCAUUAGUAUUCAAUUGUCAGAGGUGAAAUUCUUGGAUUUAUUGAAGACUAACUACUGCGAAAGCAUUUGCCAAGGAUGUUUUCAUUAAUCAAGAACGAAAGUUAGGGGAUCGAAGACGAUCAGAUACC